UUUCAUGGCCUUGUGAAAGAGGGUAUGAUUUUGAAAAAAAUCGUUCACAUAUGCCAUAUACUUGUCAUGCAGCUCAAUUAUCUUUCUGAUAAGAACCUGAAGAUCACACCAACAGAUCAGAUGUUGGGCAUCCAUGUUAUUCCCAGACAUCUAAAACAUAUAAGUUGGGGAUUUACCUGUUCCUGUAUACCACCACUUGCAGCCUGUUGGCGCACAUAAUUGUCAGCACUUAGCUCCCCAAACAAAUAAUUGAAAAUAUAAAAUAAAAUUCAGUUACAAAUACAUGCAAUCCCAACAUAACAACCCAAAAAACUCCCAAGAGUUUUCAUGCCCGAAUACUAAUGUCAGAGAAAUGGACAAGAAAGGAAAGGAAAGGAAAG
This 380-nucleotide unclassified non-coding RNA is filed under the name Hevea brasiliensis (rubber tree). The record is from RNAcentral. Lineage: Eukaryota; Viridiplantae; Streptophyta; Magnoliopsida; Malpighiales; Euphorbiaceae.